RNAcentral lists this long non-coding RNA (5367 nucleotides) under Solanum tuberosum (potato). RNAcentral describes it as "long non-coding RNA (STUB_LNC005397)". The record is from RNAcentral. Lineage: Eukaryota; Viridiplantae; Streptophyta; Magnoliopsida; Solanales; Solanaceae.
UUAGUAGGAACUGAAAUUGCAUUGAUGUUCAAUCACACUACUGACAUAAUAAAUCACAUCCUAAGACAAUAAUGAACUUUAGUUAUAUAAUUGUAAAGAUCACAACCUUUCUAGACAUUCGAGAGGCUAGAAACUCUCCCAGAAUUCCCUUUUCUUAAUUUUCUGAAUGCCUUUGUUUUAACUGCCCUGCCCCUAUUUCUACAGAAAAAACCACCCAAUACAUGUGUAACUGUCUCAUGACAGUUACUAAGUUUCUUAAUUGCUUAUUUUGGCCUCCUGGAAUAAGUUUUUAUAACUUGAGGCACAUCAUUACCCUUCCCUAUAAGAAUCACCUUGUCCUCAAGGUGAAAGUCCGGAAAUUGUUGAUAGACGACUGCAUAUUCCUCCCAAGUACUCUCAAAUUCUGGUAGAGUCUUCCACUUGAUUAGCACUUCCAAUUUACCAUUGAUUAGCUUCCUGGUCUGUCUCACUGCCUCAGGCUCAACUUGAAGCUCCAAUUCUUGGGUAAGAAAUGGAGGUAGGUUUUGAGCAGAAGUAGUUGGAAACAAGCAUUUUCUCAACUGUGAAACAUGAAACACUGAAUGAAUGCGUGCUCCAACUGGUAACUCCAACCGAUAAGCUACGGGACCAAUCUUUUCCAGAAUCUUGUAAGGACCAUAAAAGCGGGGACUGAGUUUUUCAUUGAUCUUCUUAGCCAAAGAACGUAGUUUGUAGGGUCGAAGUUUGAGAUAUACCAGUUCACCAAUCUCAAAAGUCAGUUCUCUACGAUGUCGAUCAGCUUGAUUCUUCAUUCUUUGUUGUGCUUGUAACAAAUGUUCUUUGAGUUCGGUUAAGAUCAGAUUUCUAGUGCGCACCUGCUCAUUUACUUCUUCCACCGCUGAAGUAGUGUCAUCCAUGUGAAAAAUUGAUGAUGGAUCCCUUCCGUAUAAUGCUUUAAAGGGUGUCAUACCUGCAGAUCUGUUAAAGGAUGUAUUAAACCAAUACUCAGCCCAAGAUAACCAGUGGGACCAUUCCUUAGGAUUUUCUCCUGCCAUACAACGGAGAUAUGUCUCCAAACUUCUAUUCACCACUUCUGUUUGUCCAUCAGUUUCUGGAUGAUAGGAAGAGCUAUACCAUAAGGUAGUGCCUGCUAGCUUGAAUAGUUCCUUCCAAAAUUGGCUUAUGAACACACGGUCACGAUCAGACACAAUAGACUUAGGAAAUCCAUGCAAUUUAACCACUUCCUUAAUGAAAACAGCUGCCACAUCUUUCGCAUUAAAAGGGUGUGAAAGUGGAAUAAAAUGUGCAUACUUAGUAAGACGAUCCACUACAACCAAAAUAGUAUCAAACCUAUGGGAUUUAGGAAGUCCAGUAAUGAAGUCCAUACUUACAUCCUCCCACACAUGAUGAGGUAUAGGCAAAGGUUGGAGUAACCCCGCAGGACUCAAAGUUUGAGACUUGUUCUUUUGACAGAUUUCACACCUAGCAACAAAGUCUUGCACAUCCCUCUUCAUACCUUCCCAGUAUAUAUUCUCGGACAGCCUUUUAUAUGUGCGAAGAUACCCCGAAUGACCUCCAAUUGGAGAAGAAUGAAACUCUUUCAAUAGCCCAGGUAUUCGAGAUGAUCCUUUUGGCAAAACCAAGCGUCCUUUAUAUAGUAGACAUCCAUUCUUCAAGCUGUAGUUGUCAUCUGAUUGUUGUCCUGAAAUUGACUUUUGCAAAAUAGAAGUCAUUUUGGUGUCUCGUUGUACUUCCUGGUCCCAUUCCUCCUUGUCUUUAUAUUGCCAAAUUGAAAACCCGUAUAACUCUGAAGAUUCCCCGCGUCUUGACAAAGCAUCAGCCACUCUAUUUUCAACACCCGGUUUGUACUUGAUCUCAAACUUAUAACCCAUGAGCUUGGAAACCCAUUUCUGUUGAUUCUCAUCCAUAACCCUCUGUCCUAGCAAAAAUUUAAGGGCUUUUUGGUCAGUUUUAAUGAUGAAAUGAUGGCCUAGCAAAUAAUGAUUCCAUCUCUUGACAGCCAACACGAUAGCCAUUAGCUCUCGUUCAUAUACCGAACAUUGUCUCGCUCUGGAAGAAAGCAUUCGACUGAAAUAAGAAAUAGGUUUACCAUUUUGCAUCAAAACUGCACCAACACCAAAUCCCGAAGCAUCAGCUUCAAUUACAAAGGGUUGAGAAAAGUUUGGCAUCGCUAAAACAGGCACUUGAGUCAUAGCCAACUUCAAUGCCUCAAAAGCUUGUUGAGCGUGUUCUCCCCAUGAAAAGGCAUCUUUUUUUAGUAAAUCAGUUAAAGGGGCAGCAAUCUUACCAUAAUCUUUGACAAAUUUUCUGUAAUAUCCCGUGAGUCCCAAAAAUCCCCGCAAAGACUUUAUAUCUCUAGGACUUGGCCAAGAUAUCAUACUGUCAAUCUUGGAGGGGUCAGCCUGCACUCCUUCAGAUGAGAUGAUAUGACCUAAAUAUUCAAGUUUAAGCUGACCAAACGUGCAUUUCUUCUUGUUGAUUACCAAUUGAUUCUGUUUGAGAAUAUCCAAAACAGCCUUCAAAUGCCCCAGAUGUGAAGCAUAAUCCUUACUGUAAAUCAAAAUAUCAUCAAAGAAUACUAAAAUAAAUUUCCGCAAAUGAUCCCUAAAAAUAUCAUUCAUCAGUGAUUGAAAAGUUGAGGGUGCAUUGGUCAAACCAAAUGGCAUGACCAUAAACUCAUAAUGUCCCUCAUGAGUGCGGAAGGCUGUUUUUGCUUCAUCUCCAGCUUGAAUGCGAAUUUGAUGAUAACCUGACUUAAGAUCCAACUUGGAAAAUAUGGUGGCUCCUCCUAGCUCAUCAAGUAACUCAUCAAUGCAUGGUAUUGGAAAUUUGUCGGGGAUCGUGAUAUCAUUAAGAGCCCGAUAAUCCACGCAAAAUCGCCAACUUCCAUCCUUCUUCUUAACCAGUAAUACUGGACUAGAAUAUGGACUAGUACUAGUUUUAAUGAUUCCAGCGGCCAGCAUCUCUUUGACCAAACGCUCGAUCUCUGCUUUUUGAGAAUGAGGAUAUCGAUAUGGACGAAUGUUUGGUGGUUGUGCUCCAGAUUGAAGAGUAAUAGCAUGAUCCCAAGAACGACGUGGUGGUAGGCCUAAGGCCUGCUCACUUACUUCUGGAUAAUCAUAUAAUAACUUUUCAAUCUCCUUUGAUGUUAUAGCUGCUUCAUCUUCAGUUAUUGUUACCUGAUUCAACUCGACCAGAAAUCCUUGUGCAUCUUUGAAUUUCAUGGUAAGAAGUUUCCAAUUCACCCUCAUCUCUCCUAAUGUGGCCAACCAUUCCAUCCCUAAUACCACAUCAGUUCCCCUCAAUUCAAAUAGAAAAUAUUGUUGGUUGAUUUGGACUCCUUGCACGUCUAUCCUUACCUCUUUGCAUACUUCACUCCCACUUACCUGCUGACCAUUACCAAUUGUUACUUCAAAUCCUUUGGUCUUCUUAAUAGGUAAUUGCAGAUGAUGAGCGAGGGUGGAUGAUAUAAAAUUAUGGGUAGCUCCACUAUCGACCAAAAUUAUCACGUCUUGCCCAUGAAUCUGCCCCACAAGUUUCAUUGUUCUACCUCCUGUAAGGCCCACAACUGAAUUCAUAUUCAACACCAUCAUAGUACCUUUCAUUUCUCCUUCAGCUACAUCUUCUCCGGUAGACUCAAAGAAUUCCUCUAUUUCAUCUUCAUCUUUGUUGGGUGCCUCUGAAAUAAUCAAUAGGUUAAGCUGCCUAUUUUUACAACGAUGAUUAGGGCCAAAUUUUUCAUCACAUCUGAAACAUAACCCUAGCUCUCUUUUUCGGGCAAAUUCUGAAUCAGACAACCUUUUGAAUUGUCCUUCAGACUUUGCUGCUGCAGUCCCGUUGAAGCUAGUCGACUUUGUGGCAGUAUGCACUGGUGAAUCAGUGUUACGACUUGCUACUCCGGCUCUUGAGUCACGAGAUUCAAGAAUGUUUGCAACUCGAUGAUAAUUGGGUCUAAACCCAACUGGUAUUGCUUGCACUUCCUCUGCCAGAUUCAAAUUUAAAACCUUGUACUUGCUGCAAAACAGAAUUUCGAUCCUCCACCUUUUGAGCCAUCUCCAUUAUCUCCCUCAAUGUUUGAGCCUGUAACAACAUUACUUCUGCCCGAAUUUCCUCUUUCAGCCCAUUUAAAAACACUCCAGAUAACAUUCCAUCAGAUGCCUCCUUCAUAGAUGCCGACACCUUUUCAAAUUCUUCACGAAACACGGUAACUGUGCUAACCUGCUUCAACCCCAUUAAGACAGCAUAUUGGUUGAUUUUUUGAGAAUGAUGAAAUCGGUUCAACAACUCUCUUUUGAAGUCUUCCCAGGUUAACAUUUGUUGCCGAGAUUCCAUCCAAUAAUACCAAUUUAAGGCUUUUCCUUCCAAACAAACACCUGCUGCCUGUAAUCUUUCCGCUUCAGAAAUUUCAUUCACGGCAAAAUAUCGCUCCACUCUGAAAAUCCAUCCCAAAGGAUCCUCUCCUUCAAAAACUGGUAGUUGUAGUUUCCGAAACUUCUUCCCAUCUUUUUCUCCAGCCCAGUUGACAUUGCUUCCCUCUUCUUGGUUUCCGAUAGAUCUGGUUUGAGAAGGGGAUGCUUCUGCCAUCAUAGUUCUCCCUUGUGCUUCAAUUCUUGCAAGAUUCUCUGUCAUUUCUUGAAACCAUCCUUCCAGUUUUCUAACAUCUUCUCUUACCCCUGUCAAAUUUGUCUCCACUUGUUCGACUCGUCCUUCCAUUCUACUCACCAUCCCUGAACGUUACUGCUCUGAUACCAAUUUGAUAGACUUUACUGCUGAAAUAGAAAAUAAGGGAACAAAUACUGCUGUUUCACACUAGAUUCACUGAUAUUACAACAACUGAUAUUACAACAAGAAGUCUGAAAACAAAACAAUCACACUACUGACAUAAUAAAUUACAUCCUAAGACAAUAAUGAACUUUAGUUAUAUAAUUGUAAAGAUCAACAACCUUUUCUAGACAUUCGAGAGGCUAGAAACUCUCCCAGAAUUCCCUUUUCUUAAUUUUCUGAAUGCCUUUGUUUUAACUGCCCUGCCCCUAUUUCUACAGAAAAAACCACCCAAUACAUGUGUAACUGUCUCAUGACAGUUACUAAGUUUCUUAAAUUGCUUAUUUUGGCCUCCUGGAAUAAGUUUUUAUAACUUGAGGCACAUCAUGUUCCAUAUUGGUUUAAAAUGAGUGUAGGUUAGGAAAAUAGGUUGCUUUUAUGUGCAUAUUUCAAACCUAAUACUUGUUUCUUGUUGCCCAUGCAUAGUUAGGAAAUGAGGUUCCUGUCUUCUUUUUAAAGAUGAUUAAAUAAGCUGAUUGUUGAAGUGAACAUAUCUUUGGGCUUCUGGGAUGAAAAGAAGUUUAUAUUUGUUGAAGGAGACGUGGC